This 253-nucleotide ribosomal RNA is filed under the name uncultured bacterium. Its description in RNAcentral is "partial 16S ribosomal RNA". It matches the Rfam family "Bacterial small subunit ribosomal RNA", at positions 524 to 776 of the family's 1533-position model. The record is from RNAcentral.
UACGUAGGGGGCUAGCGUUGUCCGGAAUCAUUGGGCGUAAAGAGCGUGUAGGCGGCCAGGUAGGUCCGUUGUGAAAACUCGAGGCUCAACCUCGAGAUGUCGGCGGAAACCAUCUGGCUAGAGUCCGGAAGAGGAGAGUGGAAUUCCUGGUGUAGCGGUGAAAUGCGCAGAUAUCAGGAAGAACACCCGUGGCGAAGGCGGCUCUCUGGGACGGUACUGACGCUGAGACGCGAAAGCGUGGGGAGCGAACAGG